RNAcentral lists this transfer RNA (71 nucleotides) under Loxodonta africana (African savanna elephant). It matches the Rfam family "tRNA". Rfam says of the family: Transfer RNA (tRNA) molecules are approximately 80 nucleotides in length. Their secondary structure includes four short double-helical elements and three loops (D, anti-codon, and T loops). Further hydrogen bonds mediate the characteristic L-shaped molecular structure. tRNAs have two regions of fundamental functional importance: the anti-codon, which is responsible for specific mRNA codon recognition, and the 3' end, to which the tRNAs corresponding amino acid is attached (by aminoacyl-tRNA synthetases). tRNAs cope with the degeneracy of the genetic code in two manners: having more than one tRNA (with a specific anti-codon) for a particular amino acid; and 'wobble' base-pairing, i.e. permitting non-standard base-pairing at the 3rd anti-codon position. Lineage: Eukaryota; Metazoa; Chordata; Mammalia; Proboscidea; Elephantidae. The record is from Rfam by way of RNAcentral.
GCAAUGGCGGUUCAGUGGUAGAAUUCUUGCCUUCUGUGCACAAGAACCAGGUUCAAUCCCCGGCCACUGCA